UACACUCCUACGGGAGGCAGCAGUGGGGAAUAUUGGACAAUGGGCGCAAGCCUGAUCCAGCCAUGCCGCGUGAGUGAUGAAGGCCCUAGGGUUGUAAAGCUCUUUCACCGGUGAAGAUAAUGACGGUAACCGGAGAAGAAGCCCCGGCUAACUUCGUGCCAGCAGCCGCGGUAAUACGAAGGGGGCUAGCGUUGUUCGGAUUUACUGGGCGUAAAGCGCACGUAGGCGGACUAUUAAGUCAGGGGUGAAAUCCCGGGGCUCAACCCCGGAACUGCCUUUGAUACUGGUAGUCUUGAGUUCGAGAGAGGUGAGUGGAAUUCCGAGUGUAGAGGUGAAAUUCGUAGAUAUUCGGAGGAACACCAGUGGCGAAGGCGGCUCACUGGCUCGAUACUGACGCUAAGGUGCGAAAGCGUGGGGAGCAAACAGGAUUAGAAACCCGAGUAGUCCCAUGAU
Molecule: ribosomal RNA, 453 nt
Filed under: uncultured organism
Description: partial 16S ribosomal RNA
Rfam family: Bacterial small subunit ribosomal RNA
Source: RNAcentral